RNAcentral lists this long non-coding RNA (25179 nucleotides) under Mytilus galloprovincialis (Mediterranean mussel). The record is from RNAcentral. Lineage: Eukaryota; Metazoa; Mollusca; Bivalvia; Mytilida; Mytilidae.
UGUGUCUGUUUAGGAUGUGAGAAAUCUCUGUAAUUGUGGGAAAUCCUAAAUUUCAAGCAGGUAAUUAAUUGUUUUUAUUGUUAAUUAGGUAUUUACACGAGUAAUAUUACAUUUGUAAUAUUUGAAGCAGAUGAAUUUAAUUUAUUUCUUUAUUUCUUUAUUAUUUAAUUUAUUGUUUUUGUUAUUAUAUUGUUGGCAUUUGUUUAAGAAAAAUGGUUUAUUUUUUUAUUGUAAUGAAACUCUUAAAAUUGUAUAACAGUAAAAUAUGUAUGUAUGUAUAAUACAUGUGAAAAAUGACAACUUUUACAGAAAUUAAUGUAGUGACUCAUGAAUGAAUGUAUUGUCACUCAAUAAGAUUCAUUCUCUCAAACGAUAAAUAAAUACUCCAUUGAUAUUAGACUAUUGUCAAUAUUAUAAAUAGGUGUAAUCUACAUCAUGUAGAUAUUUAUUAUUUACCAGAUUCAUUAACAGGUAUUUAUACCUGCUCUUUAUGUAAUUAACAUCUAUUGAGGUAAUAGAUCAAAGGGAAUCUGGACAAUGGUCACUAUUACAACCACAAUGGUCAAUAUUACAACUACAAUUCUUGUCUUUUACUGAAAUUGAUUGGAUUUUUUCUUCUAUUGUUAUAAAAUCAAUUCAGGUAUUGAAAUUAGAGAAAUUAGCAUUUAAACUGACCAUAUAGAAGGUGAAAUGUGACAAAAAGUAUUACGUCAGUUUCUAUAGUGUUAUAUAGAUGUAUUACUUUCAUACCUUAAAUUUUAUAAAUUUCUCAUGCUAUUUCAAUAAGUAGGAAUAAUGUGAAAAAAAUCUGAUCUCAGCAUGAUUCCAUACUUUUAGUAUUACUAACACCUUGACUAUAGUAGUUUGAUAUUGAUAUCUCACAUUUUAUAUCUAGUAAGGUUUCAUAGGCCAACAGGAGGCACUUUAUAUAAUUAUCUAGGACAUAUAGCAGUGCAUUAUUCUUAUAUUUAUAAUUAUGAAUAGAGAAUCUACUCCUUGAUGAUUUCAAAACUAACAAAUUUAACUUUUCACCUGAAAUUGAGAAACACUAUUAAUCACUUAAAUAUUACUAUAAAUAGAUUUGGGAUGUAAGUCAAUAAGACAGCAAUCUAACAACAUAAUAAAACCACUAAAAACAUCUAGACUAAGGUUUUGUCUUCAACAAUGGACACAUAUAAAUCAUCUUGGUGGUUUGUAAUGUUAGCGAUCAGAAAAGUUAUGUACAAUAUGAGCAGAGGUUUUACAGCCAAUCGCACGACCUUUAUGGAGCAGAUUAAAGGCAUAUGUAUUAUUCACAUCUUUUUUUUAUAAAGGGUAUCAGGUUUUAGUCACCUGUGUAGCAAAGUUGAUGAAUGGAAAUUAUUAUCAGUUUCCUCAAUUUGUCCAUAUGGGGCAUGUAAAAUAGAAGUGUUUCAAAAUCUAAAGCAGAAAAAAGGAUCAGCAUGACAAAAUUUAUUCACCCUGAAAAUCAAAGAAAAAUCUUACAACUUAUGUCAGAGUUAUUGCCCAUGAAAUAUUAUUUUUUUACCAAUAUUUAGCAGUUGUUGGUUGUUAUAGUAAAAGCUAUACAUGUAUAAGAGCUAGGUCUAAAGUGUAAAUUAUAAAAAUGAUGGACUACACAAAGACUAACUGCAAUGGAUAGUAUGUGCAUAGUUAAGUCCUAGAAUAUGCAUACUGAUAUUUUUGUCAACAGGUAAGAGAUACAGGCACAGAUAUGUGUCUUGUUUGUAUGCUGUAUAUUUUUUUAUAGCUAUUUUCAUUUGAUAUCACAGAACUUCAGAUUAGUUCCUUGUGUAUCUAUUUUUAUCAGGCAAUUUUUAGUAGGCAAUCCUGAAUGCUUCAGUUAUAUUAAUUUACUAGCAAGCAGAUAAUAUUAAAACAGAAUUACAUUUUGAUGAUAUGAAAACUAUUUGUAGUUUUUAAAAAGGGAUGUUUUCUGUGAUUUCUUAUUUAAGCUCAAAUUUUUCAAGUAUGUUAUUAAAUAAACAUCAUUUGCUAUCAUCUAAGAUAUUUUAUAGAGCAGAAACUUGAAGUAGGUACUGUAAAUAUAGAAAUUAUUGCAUGCAUUUAUUUAUUGCAAUUUAUGAAGUAUGGGUAAAAUUCUAACUUAAUUAAGUUGAUUUCAAGAAAUCUGCAUACAUAUAUAUGUCUCAGUUAUCAGAAUACGAGAUCUUAUUUUUGCGAUACUCAACCAGUCACAUUAUUUGCUGUCAAAAUAACCUUGCAAUAAUUUCUGAAUUUACAGUAAAUGUUUUUAUUAGCACACCAUUAGGCGUUUGACCAAUACAAUGGACCAUGGGAGUACUAUAUUUCAUUUUACUUCCAUGAACAGACCAAUAUGAAAUUGUAGAAGUUCUAUUAUAAUAGCCAUGGUUUUUUGUCUGCAGUUAUUUGAUGCAAUAGCAUUUGUCUGGGCUUUUUGAGGUACGUCAUAUUAGACAUUUUGUUCUAGCAUAGAUGUAAUAUUACAUCUAUGGUUCUAGUUGCUACUCAUUUGAAGGAUUGGUCAUUUCUAUUUAUGUUUUAUUUGUUUGUAAACUUUUAAAAUUGAUUGUUUCAACCAUGAGUCAAUACUGCUAUAGGAAAAGCUGUUACAGUUUAAACGUCUUCUCUUUUAUCCUUUUAAGUUUAUACUUUACAUUAGAAACUUUAUUAUUGACUUGGACAAACAAAAUCAAACAUAUAACAGACCAAGAAUAAACAUUAUUUUAUAGCUUCCUGUCAAUUUCAGAAUCAUAUAAAUGCUUAAGAUAUGUGUCAUAUUUGGUUAUGUCCAGUGUGAUUUUGUUCCACAGAUUUUUUUUUGCAUUUUGCAGACUUGCUCAAUGUUCAUUAAAAUCAUUUUUUUUUACCAUUUGGAAAGUAAAGUCUAUUCAAUUAUUUUACCCAAUGUUAUCAAUUCACCUAUCAUUGGGCAAGUUUAAAUUUGACCAAAAGGUCAGAUUUAGAAAGGUUAGAACUGACUAAGAUAAAAUUGGCGCAGAUUUGUCUUGAAUUGAAAUUUGAAUGAAUGUCUGCUCGAAAAAUUGGAAAUUCAAAUGUAAAUGGAUGAGGUUUUUUCCUUUGAAUCAGAUCUUGGCAUGAUACAUUCAUGGUUUGAUUAAUUCAAUGAAAAGUUCAUAUGCCAGUUUAUAUAACAGAAUCUGUUAUACUGAUGUCUCAAGAAAAAAUAUAUUGAGUGUACAAAUAACUAGUUGUUUUAGGCUUAAAUUAUUCAGAUGAUUAUUAUAAUGUAAUAUAUAUCUUUAUUUCCUCCAAUUCUAAACUAAUUCAAUUUUAUUUGAUUGGGGGGAUUCAAAGGACUGAACAGUUUUAUUGCUGUUCUUCAUACAAUUUCUGAAGUUUUCAUGUAUUAUGAGGGCUUGAUGUGAUCUUAAAUUAAACUUUCAUAAUGCCAGAAUAUUUUUUAAGUGCAACUCAGAUUUUAUGUUUGUAUUCAAGAAGAAAUCUUUUAUUUGCCCAGAAUGGUAUAACAUCUCAUAUUUCUUUAGGUUUUUUCAGGUUGCAAUUAUCACAUUUUUACCUGGUAACCAUGGAAACAUAUUUGUAUCAGGUUUUUAUCAAGUAUAUAUAGAGCUUAAUGAUACAAAAUUAGCCUAAAACAGACAAUACAUAACUCCCAAUCGAUGGCAAUGAUUCAGAUCUUAUCAAAUACAAAAAUGUUCUAUUCUUCAGGUAUUUAUCAGCACUUGUUGAUUUUGCCAUAUUUUAAUGCCACAUUUGAACUUUACAUUUAUUGGAAUUAAAGUAUUUUCGCAGAAUAUGUGACUCAGAAUGCAGUAAAAAUCAAAUGAUCUCUUAUUGCUUUAUAAUCAAUGGGAGUUAAACUGUAAUAUCACGCAUAAUUCACGUAAAAUUUUAAACAGACAAACAUUUUCCCAACCCAAUCUAUUUAUUUAAGAUUAGAAUAGAUAUAAACCAACAUUAGGUGACUAUGUGUUACAUAAUAAUACAAGAUGUGCAACUCCCAAGAGCACUAUCCAUAAUCAUUGAGGUGAUCUAACAUCCUAUAUUGAUUGCUUGUUCAGUUGUUCCUGCCCAUUGGUACUAAUGUCAUCAAUUUCCUGGCUGAUGGCUGAUGACAAGUGGCAUGCAUUGUGGACCUUUGAAUUAUUAUUACCUUUUUAAAGUAUUUAAUGGAGAACAUUGAUAUGUUAAGAUGAUUUACUUUACUGUCUGUUGAAUUUAGACCUUUGGUCUGAUUUAAAAUUUAAAAAAACAAGUUUCUUGCAGAAUAUUUGUAUAGGACUCUUGUCAUGAGAUAUAGCUGAUUUGCACUGAUAUGACAUGCAAUACUUAGGGGGGGGGGUCAUUGCGGGACAAUUUUCUUCAUUUUGAGAGCAGAUUGUAAGAGCAUGGUGAAAGAAGGAUUGAAUCUUCUGACAUUAUUGCGCAGUCUUCAUGCUUACCCAUAGGCCCAACCCACAGGCAAAAGCUUGUAUAAUUACUUUCCAUCCAAUAAAAUUUUCUGCUACAGGUCAAAUAGAAUCUUCACAAUUUAAAAAGAAAAAUGAGCAUCAGGUCACAUAUAUAUAGCUUCCAAAUUCCAAAUGUCCAGAUAUUACUUAUUGUAAGAAAUCUUUCUUCAAGGAGGAGACCUUUUAGAAUCUGCACUUUACCUCUGUAUAUUGAGGCAGGUGAUGAAGCAUGGUGGUAAUGGGUGAUGCUUACCAGUUGAGGCAUGAAAAUCAAUUUGAUUUUAAAGUACUCUGCAAGAAAGAAUUUCCCUUCAACACUGUGGCAAUUAGGGAUUAUAAGAGUAUUAAAUUUCUGCAUUUAUUCUGUAAAGAUCAUUAUCAAUUUUGAUUAAGUCAAUUUAUGAAGAAGCCAAAUUAUUUAUUUGUUUAGUUUCCUACUGUUCAGAUAACCAGAUGGAAGGGAUAUAUAACUUCAUCAUUUGGUUCAUUAGAAAAGAUGAUCGGUUGUGAAAAUAAAACAAUUUCCUGAUAUUUCAAUCACAUCUCUUCAAAAGAAAAUCAUUUCCAUGUGAAUUAUUAAUUAUCAAAAUUAUCUUUGUGAACUUUGUAACUGUAUCUGCUAUAAAUUCUAUAUUAAAAGACAAUUCAUUGUAAUGUCGACCUGAUUUUAUGUUAUUUUCAUGUGCCAUUAAUGGCUUAAACAUAAAUAUAUUUUGUCCUUGUUAAUGAUUUGUGUAUCCAAUAUUAUUCACUCAAUAAGAAAAUAUAUUGUAUUCUCCAUGAUUUCUUAAUUACAAAGAAUUUUGUGUAUUUAUUGCAGUCAAAAUUGAUAUGAGUAAUUUGAAUGCUUUAUUUUUAAUAUUAAAGGUCUGCAGGUUCUGACACUGAUCUUCUGUUUCAUCCUGAAUAUGUAUGAAAUAUUUGCCACUGGACAUAAAAGCAAGUAGAAACCUGUAAAACCUAGUCAGUUUAGUUCUAAAAGAAAAGUAUUAUACCUCCUUUUAGUUUUAUCCAUGUUUAGAGAUAAACAGCUGACAUUAGGUUUGUGCUUAGAUUAGUAGGGUACAGGUCUAGUAGUAAUUCUAUAUUUUUCAUUAAAAAGGUAAUAAUAAUCCUAUUUCCUUAAAGUCUAUCCUUAUGGGAUCUAUAAAUGGAAUUUGAUGACAUUUUGGAUUGAAAGAGUAUUUGUUAUGUACACAUCUUUCCAAGGUUGUAGCUUGUAAGCAUUUACCUAGUAAAUAUUAUUGAUAGAUAGAAACAAAGAUGGACCACACCUCCAUAAUCCCCCGUAAUGAUAUGAUGGUUAUCAGUCUUAAUAAACUUUAGGAUACUUAGAACAGUCUAUGGUAUGAUAGAGAUAUUAUGUUAUAUAUUAGCCCUUGUUUGUUUUCGGUAAAUCUAAAGGAAUACUGUCGUAAAGAUAACGGGCUCCACAAAAAUGUCAAGAGAUCAUAAAUGUACAUGAAUAAUCACUUGUACUAAGAUCACCUUAUGAUUUGCCAUCAAUUUUCUUAUUUUAAUAAUUUAUCAGUUAAGUAUUACAUACUGUUCCAUAUUUUGUAUUGUUUUAGAUGCCUAUCGUUACUGUUAGAACUUUACGGAAUUUAAGAAAACCUAGUUACUCCAUAAUGUCAACUACAUCCACCGUACAAGGGAGAUAUUGACUUUUAUCACUAUGAAAUUAUUACAUUAGAUUUACAAUGACACAUGACGGAUUAACCUCCUUUAUCCAGACUAGAUCAAAGUGAUUCUGUUUAUGUUUUAAAAGGAUUACACCUUAUUAUAUUCAUGUUGAUUCGUAAUACCCUGCUGACACAAACUGUGGCGAUUCUAAUUUUUAAUCGAUUCGUUGAUUUCAAUUUAAUUUCCGUUGACUUCAUUCCAAUGUGAAGAAUCAUUUUCCGAUGUCUUUUUCACACUCAGUGAAGAAUCUUAAUACUUCAAGUUUUAAGGUUUAGUAUUAGCAUUUCUGAAAUCAAUGCUCCUUUUAUUUAGAGAGAGAAAUGCUUUUUGAAACCGUUGACAGAAAAGAGGAUUUGUACAGAUUAAAGACUUUGUAUGAUGUGCAUACAUUGACUAAGAUUUUAAACUAUAAUAAUAAAAUCUUGCAUGAUAGACUUAAGAUUGUACCAUUGCCUAACAUUUCAUAUCUCCUGUCGCCUUUUAUUCCAGCUUUAAUGAAUAUUCUUGGCUUUAAUGUCAGCAUACAUUGUCUACUGUUGCCUAUGAUGCCAGUAUUCCUUGUCUACAUCUGCUUUUGCAGUUUGUUGAUUUGGUAUUAAUGGUCACUAAACCUUUGUAUAUGUUUGGUGAUCAGAUCUUCAGAUUUCAUUGACUUGUGCCUACCAUAUACUGACCUAGAUGUUUUAUGUUUAUUUGUGCCUUUUGGUUGCUUCCUUGAUGACAUGUACCUACAGUCUCCAUUUGUUCACAUCUUCUUAUAUCUAAUUAGUUGUCUUUUAUUGGUUUGAAGCAUUUUUUUAAGUUUCUCUCUUAUUUAUUCCUUCAUUGAUUUUCUUUCCUAUUGUGUCUGCACGCUCUGUAUAUAAUAUGCAUGUCUUUGAUUUAUUAUGUUGGUUCAAAAGCUCAUUCUAGGCUUUUGUUGUAUUGUUCUUUAACUUGCAAUUGUUUACUUCAAUUAAAACUUAAUUGAUUUGAUUUGAUAGGCGUCUCAUUUCAUUUUGAGUAAUACGUUUAGGUAAAAAGCUGAUGAGUCUUGAAAAUGGUGUUUAUUGAAAAGGGAGCUAUCUUUGAUGACACAAAUUCAGAAUUAUGUUUAGAUGUGUCAUAUAAGUUCCCUUAUUUGAAUAAUAUGAUAUGGAUAUGAUAUAAAUCCGUACCAUAUCAAAGAAGAUAUCGAAUAAGUAUGAUUGCCACUGAGACAACUAUCCAUCUAAGACAAAAAGAUAUCCAUGUCAGCAGCUAUAGGCAACUUAACAGUUUUCAAUAAUGAGCAAUAUCCAAUCCAGUGGGUCAAAAAGCCUACCAAGCAUUGGUCAAAUAUUUUUGCUAACUUUUAAGUCUUGUAUUCUGUCUACUGUUUUCUUUGAAAUGUUUACUAUUUAACUCCAUCAUCAUGGUGUUUAGAUGGAAAGAAUCACAACUAUUUAUACCCCCUUAGAGAGGACAUUAUUUUCGCUUUCAAUCGAUGGGUUUAGAAUCCGCAAGAACCACAACUAUUAUACCUCCUUAUAGAGGACAAUUAUUUUUCAGCAAUAAUUCUACCAUGUAAACUACAAUUAUCACUACUUUGUAAUAUAUAGAGAUCUCCUAUAUUCUGUCAGGACUUUCUAUGUUAGUAUAGAAAGUCCCUGAUUCUGUCUACUGUUUUCUUUGAAAUGUUUACUAUUUCAGGAGUCAUACACUUGCAUAUAUAAUUAAAAUAAGUAAAACAUGCUCCAAUUCAUCUAAAAUACUACCUUGACCAAAAACUUUAACCUGAAAGCGGGACAGACGAACGAACAGACAAACGGACGACCAAUGAAACGAUUGUUACAAAGUGUAAAAGUCAAACCAUUACCAUUAUAGGUCAAAGUACAGUCUUCAACACGAAGUCUGUCUUCACACUGAACAGCAAGCUAGAAAGGGCCCCAAAAAUACAAGUGUAAAUACAUAUAGAAACACUUAUGAAACAAACAAACAACAACCAUUGAACAUCAAGGUCACAUAAAUUCCCUUAUUUAAAUAGACCAUGAGUCUAUGUCCUCUUUCCCAGUGAUCACCUGUCUCCACUUUAUUACCUGUUAUGCAGUGAAGAUAGAAUGAAGGAGUCUUUGUUUGUUAUAUAGACAAGAUAAGUCUGUCUCCGACUUCCCUGUUAAGUUACAAUACUACCUAUUUAAUCAGAGAAUAACAUGUACCAACAAUUAUCAUUAGAGUGGUCCUUACCAAGUAUAAAGUAGAGGUUAUUGUCGAUAACUAAACUGUUACCAAGAUAUUUCAUAUUUACAAAACAUCUUCAUUUAAGUUAAUUUCACCUCCUGUUGUUCUUAGGAAGCUUUUUUCCCUCCUCAAAAACUUUGUAGGUAAAAACACCAUCAUGACUCGGUUAAAAGUACAGGUAAAUAUAUGUUUGUUAGCUUUGACACCUCUGCGUAUUUGUAUAAUGGCUCAUCUCCAGGUAUUUGUAAGCAUUAUAAACAGCGGGAACAUCGUCACAUGUUCUGGGACAUCAAAAAUAUGUAGUUAAUAAUGAGAUGAUAACACUAAAUGAUGGAUCAAAGUAUUUAUUGUAAGACGUAAACUCAGUCAAGGUGGACAAUAUUGUUUCUUAACAAUUCGAUUGUGUGCCUGCAUAGACUUUAAAUUAAGGCUUUGUUUUUAAACCCUUAAAGCUGAUAAUUUUUUUUUAUCUAAAAACUCUUUCUCAGGCUAUUUUUAGGUGCUUAGCUUUUUUGAAUUUUGUUAAAAGAAAAAUAUUUUUCAAAAUUUAAUGAAUGGUUACUGGUCAUAUGGGACCUCAUUUUACUUUUCUUUAUUUUUUGCUUGUUUUUAGAAUCUUUAUUUUCCAGAGGCUAACGCAAAAAAUUUCCUCAUUUCAUCCAUUGAAAGGCAUUAUUUUUUGAAGAUUUUUACCGUUUUUAAAGUAUUUGUGUAACCACAAAUACUAAGCACUUGUAAAAACUAUGAAGUAUUACAUAAGGUACAAAAGCAUAACAUCUGUCUCUGAAAUCUUUGUAGUUCAUGAAGGUGAUUUGAAUGGUAUAUAAUUUUAAAAUGCAUUUUUUGAAGCCAGAUAAGCCUGUAAAAACAUGCUGAAUGAAACAAAAGGUAGUAUUCAGAUUCAUGGAAAUAGAAAUAUAACUUUGAACUUUUAUUAAGGAAGGCUAUGAUUUAAGAUAGAAAAACCUCCAAACCUUUAAUUUUUCUAUGAAAUGAACCUGAAUCAAUAUGAUUAAGAAUUCAGUUGUAUUGUUACAAUUCUGUACAUGUAUUUAAAUUUUUAAAACUGCAACUCUCUUUCAGAUUUAUUUAAUGUUCCUGUGUUUGAAUUACUUUUGUCUGCUCUAAGGAUUGCCGCCUUCAAGUUAAAGUCUGCACACAAAUGGUAAUAUAUUAUUUGAAUACGCCCACUUCUGAACAAAUCCACAACUGUCUGAAUCUAAUCUAGCGGAAUCUAAGUGCAUUUUAUAUCCAUAAUUACACCAGGCACAAGCCAUCUGUCUUUAACAUGAUAUCGUACUGCCCUCUGGUCAUUCAAAAAGUGACCCGUCAUGUACUUAAUGAGCUCCCGACCAGGUCAUGGGCUGGACGGUGUUAAGGCAAUCAUACUAACACUGCUGUAGCGUAUCCUUUAAUCAGGGAUUAGGAACAAUGGGACCUACAAUUGUAAUUGUCCGACGGAAGUUUUAUUGGUUUUUAAAGACGGCCAGUUUUCUUAUGAUAUUAUAUCCAUAUCUUAUUGACAUUGAGAUGGGUAUCGUGUCACCACUUCACGUUUAAUUUGUCUAAUUAACUGAUCCUAUUAGAGAUGGUUCUACCUGAAUUAAUACCUUUGAUUUAAUAUUUUCUUCGUUUGAAGUGUUGAAGAAAGUGAGAAAUUACUUUUUGAUGAUAACAAAUGAGAUGAGUUUUAUUUGAUUUUGACCUCAGCAAGCUAUUUUAAGACAAUUUAUUGGCUAUAAGGAAUGCUUAAGAUAAAAAAUAGAAAAUGGUAUAUGCUCAAAUGCUUAAAUGCCAAACUCAUACAUGUCUCUCUGUCCUAUUUUCCUCUGUAUUUAGAAAUUGCAAUGGUAAAUUUAUAUUAUCCUAUUUAAGUUUAAGACCUUCCAUUAAAGGAAAGUCUUACGAAAAAAUUUCCUUUAAAAGAAAUUAUCUGUUGUCAAAGAUAGAUAGGUAAAAUAAUAGAAAUGCAAUUUUAAUGUGAUAUAUAGACACCCGCCAUAAAACAAAGUUACAUUCUAUCAUCAAAUUGAUUAUUUGUCCUUGUUGUUCAGAAUUAAAAAGAUGAAUGCUCUUUGAGACAACAUUAAUUGCAUAUUAUAAGUAUAGGCACUAAAAAAAAAUCUGUUUUUUUUAGGUGCCAAAUUUUAUAAAAGAAAUAUUAUUAAAUUUUGCUUUGUUUUAGUAACACUGAUUGUCAAAUAUCGCAAAACAUAACUAAACUUUCUAAUUUAAAAAAGCAGCUUUUAGAAACGUAGAUAGAAUAUCCAGUCAUCAUGUUUUCUGUGAGAUAGUCUAUAUUUACUGUUAAAAAGUAACAAGUCUUUGAAUAGAACUUUAUUUUUAGUGACAUAUUUUGUAGAUUUAUCAUUUCCCUGUCAUUUGAGGACAAUUGAUGUUCUAUUUAAAGUCAGUAGGAGGAAAGAAUAAUACUGGUUUUUUUAAGAGAUGAAACUUUAGACUUGAAUUUUUUGACAAUUUGAACAGUUUAUAUAUAAUUGUAUACUUAACCUUUCUUUGAUGAGAAAGCUAUCUAUGGUAUCAGUAUCAUAUGAUGAAUGGGAACACCCUGUGGCAUUCUGGGUAAAUUAUUUGUCUAAAAAAUAUAAUGGCCUUCCUUUCUUUUUGUAAGCCCUGCUGGAAGGCUUUGAAACAAUUUCUUUUAUAGUUAUUGAGGACCUUCUCCUGAUUAAUUUAUCAAGGAGGUUUUCAUCUUUGCACUAAAUAGAAUUUCGGUAGUGAUUUAAAUAAAUUUUAAAUUGUAAGUAGCUGGAUGUGUUACAAACCCUCAAGGAAAUACGGUCACUUUACUCUGUUAUUACGGGUAUUGACAAUUAUUUAACCCAUUCUUCCAUGAUAAGGUUUCAUCCCCUUAAUGAUAGCUAAAGAUAUCUGGGAUUAUAUCAGAUAGGUAAUUAGAUGUGUUGACAAUUAUUACAGAAUAAAUUACAUUUAUUUUAAUGCCUUCGGUGUGAAAUUUAGACAUUGGAACUUGACUUAGGUGUGAAAGUCUCAUAUUUUCCCUUCUGGCAUUAAAGACCCUGAAUUAAAUCUUAACUAAACAGCGUCAGAUUAAAAGACAUUAUUAAAUAAAGUCAUGUCACCUUUUGAAUUUUUCUACAAAUUAAUUUAAAUGAUUGAAAUAUUUAUCCAUCAGGUUAUCUGUUGGGUGUUCAAUCACCUUAAACUCACUGUUUUAAAAACAAAGGAUGCCAUAAAAUAUAGCCUUUUAGGUUCCUUUGUGUAGUACCUCAGUUGAAACGCUUUGACUAAAAAUGUCUGCAUCAGAAAAACUUAAAAAAAAUUGUUUCCAAUAUGAAAAGAAUAUUAUAAGAAUAUCUGACUUGAAUUUCAUUGAUGAAAUAUUCGUUUUCACAAUGCAUUAAUCCUUGAAAUGUGAUGAAUUUUUUUUUAUUGAAAAAAUCCUAUGCGAAUCAAGUAUGUGAGAGAAAAAAAUUCCAUGGAGGAAAGGGUUAAUAAAGAGAUUUUAGUUAUAAAAUAAAUGGAGAAAACAUAAGUUAGUUAGUAGUUUUCUCAUUUGAAUUGUUUUACAUUUGCGAUUUUGGGGCCUUUUAGAGCUGACUUUGUGGUAUGGGCUAUGCUUAUUGUUGAAGGCCAUACAGUGACCUAUAGUUGUAAAUUUCUGUGUCAUGUGGUGUCUGGUGAAGUCUCAUUGGCAAUCAUACCACAUCUAAUUAUCUUUAUAGUAAUAGUAACAGCACAAAAAAAAAGAUAAUAGGAGUCAAUUGUUAUGAAUGAUGUCUUCUUCCAAUUAACAAGAAUCUGUAAGAUAAUAAUCUUCCUGGAAAUUGUUACAUAGAAACUGACAAUAGGUUUGAGAAAUGGCUUAAAACUCAAAAGCAGCAUAAACCAAAUCAUUUAUCCAGUAAACCAAUUCUGUGUUUCUAAAAACAAGCUUUCAGUCAAACAAAAACAGGUGGAUAAAGUUGAGAUUAAAUCCAUCUUUUAAAAUAAAUUGACCUCCGUCCCAAACAAAGACAUUCUUCUUGCCUUUGGCUAAGUCCAUAAUCCUCAUAAAAUAAAUAUAGCAUUAAGCGAAGUCAAUAAAAACAAAUCCAUUGUUUUAAUAACAAGCUGUCCAUUACUUUAAGACCAUUAUCCCACUAUAUUCAGAUUGGUUACUUUUAUGGUCAGCUGUUCCAUAUAUCUGAAAAGGGAAAAAACUAUAUUAGCUAAGACAUCUAAAUUCAAUUAUCUAACUAACAAGGUUAAAGAUUCCAGUCUAUUGGUCAAGGAAAAAAUAGAAAUCAAUUUAAUUUGAAGAUAUGUGAUAAAUUCUUGUGAUGUGGUGUGGUCAUUGUUAAGAUUAAAUGUUUAGAACAUAGGUGAGAAAUUGUUUAAGAAAUUGGCUAAAUUUCCCAAAAUUAGCACUCUGGACACCUGUUGUGAUACCAUCUUGUGUCAAGUACCAACAUGAUUCAUUGAAAGUUUUACGUAGUAGUUUAACCAUUGUGUUUGGGGAUAAUGUUUCGGUUUGUGGAAACUCCUUUUUUUCCAACAACAUAUUUGAAAAGGAAUCAAUUGUUCCUUCAGGAAACUCAAGCACCAAAAAGCAUAUAAAUGUAAUGGUUAUCAAAUUAACUACCCUGCACUUUUGGGGAACUGAUUAAUGCAUCUUCAUAUGAAUUUGAUUAAAAUAGCAUACAGCUAGCUACAAGUUAUUCCAUUAAUUCAUGUUAUGAGCAAAAAAUAUUACCCAUUUAUCAUUGGAAAACAAUACAAAUCUCUAUUUCAGAUUUUCAAGUAUGAUGCAUGACAGUUCAAAACAUCCAUUAAAGCCUCAUCAUGAACCCAAAGAAAUAUUUAAAUUGGUCAGAAUAAAAUAUGAGGUCACAAUGGUCACAUCACUGGUCAUCUUGGUCCAAGAUUUUUCAUUUUGUUCAGUGAAAUUAUAGACAUAAAAAUGGUGGUAUAUACAAUUAGUUCAAGCAGACGACAGUUGUAAUAUUUUCAAUGGUUGACAUUGUUGACCUGGUACUUUACCAUCAGCAAGAAUUCAGUGAUUAGUUCUGGACACCAGUUCCUGUCCACGUUGACAAAGUUAGGUCCUUUGUUCGAUAAUAAUUUCUUUGUUUACUCGACGGCUGCUGCAGUGCGUUUGGCUUCAGAUAAAUGCUUGUAAUCUCUCUGUUUUCUGUAAAGGAUAUAAUUAUUUUAUAUUUACAAGACGGCUUCCUUUUAUUGAAAUAUGACGUGUAAAUGAUAUCCAUCUUUGAAAGACAUCUUUACCUAAAGUAUUUCAUUUCUCCAAUAAAAAGUGAAACCUGACACUAACCUUUCAGAAUCUGAUAUCCCUAUUUAAAAGUUAUCAAAUCUAGAAUUGCAAUCAAAGUGGACUAAUUAUGGAUUUUCAAGUCAUAAAAAUGAAGAUUCCUACAGCUUAAAGAUUUCAAAGUAUAAAUUAAGAUGGUAAUGUUGAUAAAAUUAUAAACACCAAAGUACUUUUUAUUUAAGGACAUACAGGAAAAACAGCUGACAAAUAUGAGAAUUGGUAGUUACUGAAUCAGUUUAUGGAAUAUUAAUCAUUUGAAUUAGCAUUCUUCUUUUUCAGUGCAAAUCUUUGAAAUUCACAAAAGGAGAAGAAAUAAAAAGAAAACAUUAAAGAAUGUGGUGAAAUUGAAAUUUGAUGGAAAUUUAAGAAAAAGGGAAUAUAUUUGCUGGUUUGCAUCAAAUUAAUUUCUCUCCAUAUAGCUGCAUUUCCUAUAGUCACACCUAGAAGGUGGUUUAGGUGUAGGAACCCUUAUUUUCCAGAUUUUUUUUUAAUCAACUAAAAAUUACAAAAAUCAGGCUCCCACUACCCAUUAGAAAAGUUUAAGACUCAUGUCUGUGCUCAAUGUCUUCUUUGAUUGAUUGAUUGUUGGUUGCUUUACGCUUUAUGUCUUCUUUGAAGUAAAAGAUAAGAUUUAUUUAGUAAAACAUAGAUUUAUUUAAUCCCAGUAAUCUUGUGUAUACAUAAUAAAGACUUCCACCAUUGGAAGCAAGUUGCAAAUAAUCUAUUUUUUGUAUUACUUAUAUAUUAUGGCUAAUAAAUACAAAAGAUAUCUUCUCUUACUUAAAUAUUUUUCAUUAUACUUUGAUGACAAGUGCUUUUGUAUUUGAAAAUUGAAUUUCCAGCUGACUGCAAGUAGUUUAAUUAAGCCUUUUCUGCCAUGUACAGAAAUUUACAUAUUAAUACUAAAUUUUAAUAGCAAUAUUUCCUUUUAUUCAUACAAAGUACUCACAUUUGUAACUUUUAAACUAACUUUGCCAUAUUUUAUUGUUAGCAUGAAUAGAUACAAGCAUUUGAAGGUUAUUUGCUUUUUAUUUUUGUCAAUAUUUUUUCUGGCUCAUAAAAGGACCACUAAUUUAAAAUGAAGACAUACAUUUGAAUGGUGUCAUCAAAAAUUUAUCUUUAUACUUUUUAAAACUCACUUUAAAAGACAGAUAAUUGCUUAAAAGUAGUCUUGUCUGUUUAUAUGAAAGAGAAAAAAAAGUUGAUUUAAAUGAACAAUCAGUGAUUUAUAGUCCCAGUUAGAUUUAAAAUGAUAUCAUUUACCAAACCACUGAUACAAGGACACCCGUUUUAGAUUUUGAUUAUUUGGGGAGAUAUUAAAAUGAAAUGAUCAAAUAAUUGCAUAAUGGAUUUAAUUGUGCAGUUAAAUUUUGUGGAGGCUUAUAUUCUGUAAAAUAUUGAAAAUAAAUUGCAUUUGGGAAUAUCUCCAUUUAUAUAUUGAAUAGGAGUAUUUGACAGUCAAGCCUUGGACUACAGAGUAAUAGUCGUGAGUGUUUACUUUGUAAUAUGAGAAAAAAAAUACUUUUGUGAAUGUUUUAUUGAAAAUUUAUUUUAUAGUUUUCAUUUUUGGGUAUCUAUCAAAUUUAUGAAACAAGAAAAUAUGUAAAUAUAUGCAGAAGAAAUUAUUUAAAUUUUGAUUUGUAGCACUGAGUGUCAUAAUGGCAGUCAUCUCCCAAAGAAUCAAUUGACCAAAGUGAAUGCCAUUUGAUUCAAAGCCACAUGAAUGAUUUGUUUCAUGGAUACAGAAAUUUAUAAAAGGGGGGGAUUUUAUUCAUAAAUAUGUAAUUUAUUCUUUCAAUCUUUAUUUACAAAUGACACUAAUAUACUAUACUAUAGUAAGAAACUACAUGUAAAUUCUAUUGCUUUAAUCUAGAAUACUUGAAAAGCAAAAAAAUAUGGUUAUAUCUCAAAAAUAGAUUUUAGGUAGGUUAGUGCACAACCUUACAAUACCUAUAACAUAAAUCUGGUCUACAGCCAUUUAUGGACAGACUGAGAAGCAGCAUUGUAUUAGAUUGAAGUACUAUACUGGUGGUAUGGUUCUUCUGUGGGCAGUGUCAGUACUGAUUAUAGUAUAUAUAGGACCAGAUCAAGAAAGGUGUGCAAAGAAUAUUAAUUAGUUGUUAAUUGAAAGUAAUUAUAGUCUCAGUGUGAAUAUGAUUUGAUGGUGAGAUCUGCAGGGUACUUGUUGACCACAUAAAUUAGGAUAACACACUGAUUUCAAGAUAUUAUUUCUAUCCAUGAUUUAACAUACAAUGAUUAGAGAGCCACUAAGAUGACAACCUAAGGUUUUCUGAUAUGGAGGGACAUUGUAAUCUAACAAACUAUGAUAGGUCUUCACACCUUCAUUAUUUCUUGUUCUUUUUGGAUGUAUCAAAUGCUGUCACACUAUUGGGAUGUCUUUGCACCCUCAUAAGUAUCGGGACCUAUUUAGGACCAUGAUGAAAUUCAGUCUUAAAAAAGACAGUAAGUACUGAUUUUGUAAUACCGUUCAGUUAUGCAUACUUUUCCCUCUUUUUUUCCUUAAAUAUUCAUAUAAAUUCUAACAAAAUUGUCCAAGAAAAGAAAAAGAAAAGUUUAAUGCCAUUGAAUUCAAUGUUUGGUCUAGAAACUAUUGAUUAAAAUUUAGACCUAUUAUCCUUGAAAUGAGGAAACUGAUCGGAGCCCAUGUUUGUUUACUGUUGAGUUAUCUAAAUUUGAAACCCAUUGAAGUGCACUAUAACCUAACAAAAUAUUUGUUUAUUGAUAGAAAACCAAUUAUCUAUUACCUGUCAAAGUAUGUAAACAAAAGAUAAAAUCUAGUGACCAAAGUUUAAAACUGUAAUCAGUUAAAGGGUGAUAAGAUAGGGAGGGACCCUUCAAUCAACCCUGUUUACUUUUCUCCCCUAUAAAGAGGUACCCGAGGAUAACGUGUCCUUUAGAAGUGUGAUUUUCACAUCUAUUGACUAAUCCUGUUAAUGUGUUAAGAUUGGACAAUCUUAGAAUUGUAAUUGAAAAAUAAACAUAAGAAAUUCUUUGUAAUUGAUAUGUUUCUGUAAUUCAAUUAAAUGGGUAAUACUUUUGAUGAAGUUUUGGGUCUGUUUUGUCUUGUUUGAGCUAGAGACCUGUUUCUACAGUAUGUUCUUUCUGCUUUCAAUACUUGUGAUAAAUGAAUUGGCAUAAAUUUAGAAAAGCGCCAGAAUUAAAAAAUAAAAAAAAAAAAAUUUGGUUCUUAUAUUAUCCCAUAUGAUAUUGUACACAAAGUUAAAAAAAAUUAUUAGAUGAAUCAAACUCUGAGCAUUUUAUGGGUAAAUUUUUAAUUUGCCUGAGCAAUUUUGAUUUUAACAGCUAUUUUUUUUCUCAAAAGUUAUUAUAAAAAACAAAGAUGUGGUAUGAUUACCAAUGAGACAACUCUCCACAAGAGACCAAAAUGACACAGAAAUUAACAACUAUAGGUCACCAUACAGCCUUCAACAAUGAGCAAAACCCUUAGCCCAUAGUCAGUUAUAAAUAGCCCCGAAAUGACAAUGUAAAACAAUUGUAGGAUUCAAACAAGAAUAUCUGUAAACAUAUGCUUGGCUUGUGCUAUAAUUGGCUAAGAUCGUGAUAGUUAUUAUUUUGUAAAUAGAACAAAGGUUAGGUAGAGGAAUAUAAAUUGUAAAAUUUGAUGUAUUUUUUUUUUUUUAGAUAAAGUUCUGCUACUCUGAGGAGGUUUUCCCACUUUUAUGAGACAAGAGCAAUUUGAAUUAAUACUCCAUUAAGCUGUUUUAAUUAGAAGACUUCCAUCAUCUUUAUCUGACAUAUACAAAGUAUUCUAAUGCAAUUAUUUUGUAACAAUUGUUCUGAUUGGAUGACAGCAAGCGUAAAAUUCUCUAUCUCCUUGUCUGUAACUAAGGAAGCCGACAUUUUGAAUUUCGGAAUGUGUUGACAUGUUAUUUCUACAAUAAUAAACAAAAAACUCACUUGUUGCGCCUAAAAAUUUUCUUUUUAUCAAAAUUUAUUACAUUUUGAAGCGGCAGAGAAGCCAGAAAACGCCCGGUGUUUAUGUUUGACGCCGGAAGCAUACUAUGACGUCACCUAGUGUAGGGACAAAGAAGAUAAAUCUUUUCGCGGAAUUUUCUUUAAUGAAGAUUUUACACUGAAAUAAUGAUUGAAAUUUAAUUAUGAACUUGUUUUGCAUUAGAAUAGAGAUAACUGUAUUGUAUUUGAAGCUUUGCGGACGUCCAUCGGUAGUUUUGCUGUCGCAAAUACCCGUUUACCUGUCUCCGCUCCGCGUCGCCAGGUAAACUAAAUUUGCGACAGUAAAACUACCGAUGGACGUCCUUAAAGCUUCAAAUACAAUACAGUUAUCUCUUAAUUGUUCAUUUUCUGCUGCGAACAAGACUUGCAACUAUAAAACAAAGAGUGAUCUAAGCAUGUCUAGUGUCAACUUAAUAAUCGCCCAAUUACCCUGCUAGAGGGUAUCUCAUAUACUGCCAUCUAGAAAAUCCAAUUUUCUCCUCUUAAUCUUACAAUAACACAUAAAUGAGAAAAGUUUAUGAAACUAUUUUAUGCCUCAUUUCCCAUCAGUGAGGCAUGCAAGGGAAGUUUGUGUUAGGCUUUGUCAGUCACUCUGAGCGUGGAAAUGCUUCAAAUUAGUCGAAAGUCAAUUUGAUUUAUUUUGGCAUGAGUUAAUUGCAUGCGAAAUUUAUGUUAAAGUUAUGGUUUGACUAGAUUUGAAUUUCAUAAGGCAGGUGGCAGAUUUCUUUCAUUCUAAAAUCAAUUUAUCAUGUAAAUUGCUUUGUUUUCUUCUUGUUCAUUUCACAACCUGAAUUAAUUUCGGAUGUUUCUUUAUAUUAUAUUGACUUAUGAAAACUAAAAUAGGUAAAGAACAUGAUAUCAUAAGUUGGUAUAUACUUAUUAGAUAUAGUUGUGGUUUUAUGACAACUUUCAGUAUUUGAAUGUAUGUAAAAGAUUCUGUGAUGCAUUGUACAUUACUUUUUAUAAACUCCACCUACUUGACCUCUAAAUGUCUUUUCUUAUUUGUGUCAUUGGGUUGCUGUUCAAACUAUAUGAGUAUAUAUACCCCACAUGUCCACAUCUACUUUUAUUUUUUCCAUCAAGGCAGGAGUUAUACUAAAAUUUAACCAUGUCUAUUCUGUUGAGAAAAAAUAGUUAAAAUAGAGGGGGGAAUAAAUACAAAAAUGAAACAUAAAAAUUAAAGAUUAAACUGGAGUAUGAUUUUAGCACUGAUUAGUUUGUUUUCGUAGUUUAUGAUAUUUGCGAGGUUUUUUCUUGAGGGGAAAAAAUGUUCCAAUUCAAAACCUAAGUCUGAUUUAAGAGAGAGGGGACGUAGGGAGGAUAAUUGUAAUCAGAAUUCUCCUAAUCAGUUCUUUAAUCUCCAAAAAAUAUAACAUAAUUUUACUUAAACAAACAUUGCACUGGUGUCAUACAAGAAGAAGUUUAUACACUUUAUCAGAUUAAAACGAUAUUUAGUACUUUUUAACAUAGUAGUGAAAAGUUAUGUCGGGUGAUAAAUUAAUGAGAUAAAAUUUGAUAAGACGAAGAUAAGCUUCUGUAGCAUUCCCUGACAGAUAAAAACUAUCAGAAAUCUUUGCUUUUUCAAUCAUAUUUCACUUGAGAGAUUUACUGCAUGGAGAAGUCUUGUAGUAAGAUGUACUGAUAAGUCUUGGAAGAUAAAAGGCUCACCUGCUAUGAAAGUGAUGCAAUAAAGAUGGAGAAAAAAUGAACUUAUCUCAAAAUAUUUACAGAUUAAAUCUCUGUUGAUUUGGUAGCUUCUGAUAGCUUCAACAGCUGAUCAGAAGUGAUGGAUUUCUGAGGGCAUUCUGUAACUUAUGGUGUACUAAGGCAGUGGAAAUCUAUGGUCCCUAAAAUGACAAAUUGAGAAUUUAUUUUGAGUGGAGUCCAAUAUUUAACUGAUUUAAAAAACAGUGGCCCUCGAUAGGAAGUCAGUGACUCUCUGCAAACCAAUUAGACUUUUAAGCUAAGCACACAAUAUUUAAUAGUAAUACAUGUGUAGCAAAGACUUGUUCUCUGGGCAUCAGAAAACUAGUUGUGUCCAGGCCCGUAGCCAGGAAUUUCCAAAGGGGGGAUUCGUUGGACUAACAAACUCGACUUUAACAGUCACAAUUCGAACAGAACAUCGACAUUAACAGUGCUUAUUUGUUUUCAAGGGGGGGUUCGUCCGAACCCCCCUUGGCUACGGGUAUGGUGUCCAGCUUAAUUGGAAUUGUAGCACUAGAAAUUCUGCUAAUCGUGUCAUUAUUGCCAAUUAAAAGCAGUAUAUACAUUCAUACAUGUUAUCUUUCUUAAUAUGGUUGAAAUAUUAGCCACUGGACAAUUUGCACUCAUCUAUUAAUGUUUGUCAAAUUAUUUUCAUAACAGUUUAAUCCAUAUAAAUGCCAGGUUCUGCCUGGGAACUUAAUGAUUGCAUUAUAAUUAUUGAAGUCUGAUUAAUAAAUCAAAAUUAAUGUAUGCUAAUUGGUAUGUUAUUAAGUAUUUCAAAUCAUUACGUGCUGCUAACAAUGCAUGUUUGUACCGAUACAUUAAAAUAUCUAGACAACUAACAACUAAAAUUAUUUAUUAAACAUAUUUGACAUUAGAUGUAAGUGAAGUAUUGACAACAAAAUAGUUUAAGAUGCACAGACAAGAAACCUGCAUUAUAACAUGUACAAUACAUUGUCGUUGUACCUUCUUGUACCUUUACCUCACCUUGUUAGAUGGUUAUAAAUCAUUUUUAUUUUUAUUUGUUUUAACUUUGACUUAAAUGUUUGUCUGGGGAAUUUUAUUGAUUUAAUGGAAUUGGAGUAAAAAAUGGUGAAUAGAAGCUGAAGAUGUGUUUAUUUCAAUCUAUGUUUUUUCUAUGACUGGUACAAUACAUUGUCAAAAUAAAACUUCAUAUUGCCGUUAGACUGAUAUUCACAUCCUGAAGAAUUCAAUCUUAUAUUGCUUGAUAUUGGAGCAUUUGAUCUGAUACUGGAUUUGAUUGAACAGGCUAUUAUUUGAACUUAGAAUUAUUUUCAAUUAUGGAAUUUGCAUAAUUUCUUGUAUUUAAAAUUUUUAAUAAAUUCUAUGUUUAUUUGGUAUCAUAAUCUUUUGAGCGGUUAAUAACACUUUCCAUACAAUGUAUUUUGGUUAGAUAGUGUUGUGCGCGACACAGUACAUUCUAUUGAAAAUAUACUAUUUUCUUUGUAAUAGAAAGUGUUGUGCGCAGCACAGAACAUUUCAGUACAGAAUAAACAUGGAAUUUAUUAAAAAUUUCAAUAACAAGAAAUCAAGCAAAUUCCAUAAUUAAAAUAAUUCCAAGUUCAAAUAACAGCCUGUUUUUUAGAGUUACCAUAACAAAUCUGUAACAUUUCAAGGAAAUAACUAAAUUAUACAAAACCCAUGAAAAUUAGUCAAUUUUAAUCUAAGAAAACAUACUGUGUGGAUUCAUUUAUUUUUGUUGAUUAUGAAAAAGUUGUGUUUUCGUGGAUUUUUUAUUUUAUUUUUUGCAAAAGUCUGCAUAAGAGUUUACAGAAAAUUUUAUACAAAACUAGAAAAGAAGGCAUCAUCAAUAUUUGAAUGUCCACAUUUUACAGAAUACCUACACCCACCGAGCAAUGAUGAUAUUGUCAAGUACCAAAUUAAAUACAUUAAUGAAACAUUAAAAUAAUUUGUACCCAUCAUUGGCUAUUAUUGAACUUAAAAAGUUUAUGUUUUUGUGAUCUAUUCUUACUUGCUUUAUAAAAUAGAAAAAUGAUUCAAAGUUAUUUUACAGUUUUCUUAAGCGCCAAUUGUUUCGUCAUAUAUAAGGGCUUCCCGUUAUCUCCUUAAUGGCCCCAGAUUUUAUCAUCCGAUCUUAGAUGUAACAGGUUCAAGAUUAAAUUUUGAUAUUAUUUUUUACAGUUGCCAGAGAUUUUGUCUCAGUUUCAUCAGAUGAAUUGAAGAGAGAAGAGGUAUAUUUUGCUGUGAGUAUUUUAUAUUUUAAAAUUUUUAACAAAGGAUACAAGUAUAAUUUGACUUUCACUUUUAUACAACCUUGACCUUUGGCCUCAAGGUCAAAUGAUUUAAUUUUUUUUACAUUUUUUUUUUAGCACUUGUAUACUUUUUUUUUAGUCAUUUGACAUAGGCAUUUGAUAUCAAGAUCGUGUGUAGGCAUUUUCAGACAAUGGGUCACACACUAUUGUAUUGUAGAUUAUCUCUAAACUUGAAUUUUGACCACAAGGUAAAAAAAAAGGUAGAUUUUUGUAUUUUUUACUCUUGUUUUUGAUAAUUCCCAUCUUUGUCCAUUUGAAUAUAAGAACAUGUGGUAUGAUUGCCAAAGAGACAACUAUCCAUCCGAGACCAAAUGACUUGGAUGUUAGCAACUCAUUCACAGUUAGGCCUUUAACAAUGAGCAAAACUAACACUGCGUUUAGAUAACGUGUCACAUGUCACAUAUCAUUAAAGUUGAUCUUGACCUUUGAUCUUAAAGUGAAAUAAUUCUUUCUUCUGACUAUUUCCAUGCCACUGACCAUAGAUGUAUUUAUUUAUUGAUAUAGGCAUUUGUAAUUGGAAUAUGAGUAUAUCAUGUCAAUCCCUGGGUUACUUUUAAAGAUCCCAUUUUCCUUUUCCUUUUAUAAUUUUCAAGAUUUUAGAUAUGCUUUUCCUCCUGUCUUUUCUGUUGGUAAAUCCACCAAGAUAAUUUUUUAAACAAAAAAAAUAGUUUUGUUACUCAGAGUUCAUAACACUUAAUAUUUUAAAAGAAUUGUACAACUUAAAAAAUGUUGAAUUAUUUAUAAUCAAACAAUAGCAGUUAUAAAAAUGUAUAUAAAGAAAAUAUUCAUUAUGUUUACCACAAAUAGGGGUUACAUUUGAUAAUAUGCCAUAAAUUCUGCUAAUGGGUAAUAUACUCUGCUUCGCUGUUCAUCCAGCUGUGUCCCUAUACCAAAUUUCAUUAAAAUCCAUCAUGAAUUAUGAUUUAUGUUUAAUAUAUGAAGAUGACCAGUGUAUUGAAUCCCAUUUUACAAUGAUAUAUACCCUCCUAACGUGUGACAUUAAUUGGCUAUCUCAAUGGAAAUCAAAUUUUAAACCAGAUAGGAAGUUUAUAGGUGAGAAGCUUUUGAUUGGAAUUGAUCAUACAUAGUUCAUCAUUUAUGUAUAAAUGCGUUAUGGCUGCGUACUUAAAUUUGCAUAACAAACUUUGAAACACAUAUAUGUGAAAAAAAAAGCCCAUUUUUUUCUUUCCAAUUUCCCUUCAUUCUUCAUCAUGAUUCAUCUUCACCAUCUUACCGUAAGAGAUAAAUAUAUGAAUACUCCGAUCGGUUAAACAAUUUGUAUUGACACCCCAUGUUUGACAAAGAUACGACGGGAAUCUUAUUAACUUCAAAGUUGGACCUGAUUAAUAUGCUAAUCCCUAUUUACAGUAGCGCAACAUUUUAUUUUCAUUUUAUGUAUAUUUUCGUGCACAGUUGGAUGACCAUGAAGUGAAAAUAGCGGUGUAACAUUUGAAUUUUUCCGUGUUUUGAAUUCUCUUUGUUGCGAUUGGCUUGACAUCCUUGGAAAUUAUCUCGGAAAAUAAUGUUCUGAUAAGUUUCCCUUUUAUGACAAUUUUAUGAGCAUUUUUUAUUAUUCAUUUUUAGAAUCUUUACAAAACUGAGGCAGAUUGAAUCUAUUAUCCUCCUGUAUGACUGUUUAAGAAUAGCUGCACGACUUUAUUCUUAACAGGUUUUCAUAUAAAUCAUAAAAACUUCAUCUCAUUGUAGAAAAUAAAAGCAAUAUUUAAUACUAACUUUUAAUCUUUGAGUUUUAGUAUAACAAUAAAUUUACUAGUGAAAUAAAAAUUGUCUCUUUUGAAUAUGUAGUUAAAAAAUGAGUUAGUAUCGUUAAUGAUUAAACAUCAGCAGGAAAUAAGAAUAUUUUCAUGGGUUAUUUCACCAAUGUCACAUUAAAGUGUGCAUUACCAUACUUGAGAUUUGUGGAUAUAAUUAGAUUUCUCAAAUAUUUGUCAUCAUCUGUUUGCUAGAGACCUAAAUAGGAAUAAAUGAAGAAGGUCAAUGAAAUAGCAUACCAGUGACGGUAAAAAUAGAAGCCAUCUUGAGUUCACGUCCAGUCUACUUGCUGGAGAACUAAAAUAGGAAUAAAUGGGAAAGGGUACAAAGCAAUAAAAUAGUAUCCCUGUUACACUAAAAAUCAAAGCCAUCUACAGUUCAUAUCCAAUCUGAAAAAAUAUAUAAAUGUCUACUGAAUAUGAACUCUCAAUUGCAGGGACUACAAAAGUAUAUAAAGUCUACUAUUCAAUUAAAGAGUUAAAACUAAUGUUUUUUUUUUCUAUCAGUUUUAGUUUAAACAUAUUUGUUUUAUAGUGGAUUGAGAAACAAGUUAUUGCAACUUUACUGUGCAACUUAUAUUAAUCUCUUUCCACUUUGCUGGUGCUAGUACUGCCUUGUAACGGUAAUAGCCUGCUCUUUUUAGCAAACAGUUGUGUAACUCUAAAACAAAAAUGUAUCCCUAUUAUUGGUAUUUCUUAUAAACUUUUCUGAAGUUAAAUAGUUUAACCCUGUAUUGAUGACAAACAGAUAUUGAUAAAGUUUGGUCUCUUGUAUUUACAACACUCAACAUCAGAAUUGUAAGGGUAGUCAUUGUCCACAUAGAGGGUUAUUGAUGGUAUUAUAAAGUAUCUCCUGCCGAUUUUGAGACACACUCCUUACUCCAUUACUCAACGUUUACAACUUGGACAACUCUAACCAAUAGAAAUCUGAAUUUAGACGGAAGAUGGAUUAGUUUAAUAAAUUAUCUCGCCAAUUAUAACAAUGACUACAAUGAUGUUUCAUUAUUUUGAAAAAUUUUCUUCAAUGAAAAGCACUUGUUUUUGAUGUUUAAAGAAAUGUUUGUUUAUUGUGGUAAGCCUUGUUAGGACUGUGAAAAGUGGGAUUUUAAUAGAUGCAUGCUAAGUCUGAAAUUAGAAUAAGAUGGAAAGAAUUUUCUCUUUAGGUUAUGUUGCCUCAGAUCCUUUAGGGUUUGAUGACAAAAAGUACUUUACAAUCAAUGCUUGAUGUCAAAAUUAAAAAAAAAUAUUUAGAUGUUUGAGCGCCUGCAUUAUGUUAUGUUUACAUGUAUUUAGAAUUUAUAACAAAAGUACAUGUAGGGUAUACGCCUAUGAGACGCAACACAUCAACAUAAAAGAAAUUUAAAGAAACAAAUGGUUUAAAUAUUUUAUCCAGAUAUAGAGACAGCUUUGAUCUAUUUUUGAUAUUAUUUUAAAUGAAAAUUACUGAACUAAGAUGUAAAAUUUCAUGGGUAGAUAAGAUACAACAAAGAUACUAUAUCGGUUAAAAGUAAACGUUGGUUCAGUGAGCAACAUGAUUUAACAAUGAUUUGGAUGAAGACAUAAUAUUAAAAGGCAUAAUUUUAUUUCUGUUUAAUAAAGAUGAAAAAAUAAAACCAGGAGUUUGAUCAUCCAAAAAACUCAUAAAUAACUUUGAUUAAAGUUAUAUUACAUGUGAAAAAGCAUUUAAUUAACAUUUUAUACCUUUUUAUUCUUCCAGAAAUCAGAGAACUUGAAGAAACAAGAUAGCUGCAUUACUUAGCGCCAUAAGUGUACUAUAUAAGGUGAUCAGCAUGAACUAACAAGGUGGUUUAUAAGUGGAC